RNAcentral lists this ribosomal RNA (742 nucleotides) under Cylindrospermopsis raciborskii CP-2. RNAcentral's name for it is "bacterial SSU rRNA". It matches the Rfam family "Bacterial small subunit ribosomal RNA", at positions 27 to 811 of the family's 1533-position model. The record is from RNAcentral. Lineage: Bacteria; Bacillati; Cyanobacteriota; Cyanophyceae; Nostocales; Aphanizomenonaceae.
GGAUGAACGCUGGCGGUAUGCUUAACACAUGCAAGUCGAACGGGAUGCUUAGGCAUCUAGUGGCGGACGGGUGAGUAACGCGUGAGAAUCUGGCUCCAGGUCGGGGAUAACAGUUGGAAACGACUGCUAAUACCGGAUGUGCCGAGAGGUGAAAGAUUUAUCGCCUGGAGAUGAGCUCGCGUCUGAUUAGCUAGUUGGCGGUGUAAGGGACCACCAAGGCAUCGAUCAGUAGCUGGUCUGAGAGGAUGAUCAGCCACACUGGGACUGAGACACGGCCCAGACUCCUACGGGAGGCAGCAGUGGGGAAUUUUCCGCAAUGGGCGAAAGCCUGACGGAGCAAUACCGCGUGAGGGAGGAAGGCUCUUGGGUCGUAAACCUCUUUUCUCAAGGAAGAAGAAAGUGACGGUACUUGAGGAAUAAGCAUCGGCUAACUCCGUGCCAGCAGCCGCGGUAAUACGGAGGAUGCAAGCGUUAUCCGGAAUGAUUGGGCGUAAAGGGUCUGCAGGUGGAACUGAAAGUCUGCUGUUAAAGAGUUUGGCUUAACCAAAUAAAAGCGGUGGAAACUACAGAACUAGAGUGCGGUAGGGGCAAAAGGAAUUCCUGGUGUAGCGGUGAAAUGCGUAGAUAUCAGGAAGAACACCGGUGGCGAAAGCGUUUUGCUAGACCGUAACUGACACUGAGGGACGAAAGCUAGGGGAGCGAAUGGGAUUAGAUACCCCAGUAGUCCUAGCCGUAAACGAUG